This 221-nucleotide long non-coding RNA is filed under the name Solanum melongena (eggplant). RNAcentral's name for it is "long non-coding RNA (SMEL_LNC000230)". Lineage: Eukaryota; Viridiplantae; Streptophyta; Magnoliopsida; Solanales; Solanaceae. The record is from RNAcentral.
ACUAAACCAAUGCAACAAUCAAGAAGGCGAUCGAGAAGACAUGAGUUCUGAAACUGUAGUAUAAGUUUUUAUGGCAGAUGUGAGCUUCACCUCAUCUUACUUCCCGCCACAAAGACAAUAAGAGAAGGAAACCUCUAACAAUAAAGAAGAUGUAGUACAACCGCAUACACAUACCGUCGAUACAAAGCAAGAAAGAAAGCAGUCCUCGCCUCGGGUGAGCC